RNAcentral lists this small nucleolar RNA (107 nucleotides) under Nicotiana tabacum (common tobacco). RNAcentral's name for it is "Plant small nucleolar RNA R71". It matches the Rfam family "Plant small nucleolar RNA R71". Rfam says of the family: R71 is a member of the C/D box family of snoRNAs containing the C (UGAUGA) and D (CUGA) box motifs. Multiple nearly identical copies of this snoRNA have been identified in Arabidopsis, and it is thought to function as a 2'-O-ribose methylation guide for 18S ribosomal RNA. Lineage: Eukaryota; Viridiplantae; Streptophyta; Magnoliopsida; Solanales; Solanaceae. The record is from Rfam by way of RNAcentral.
AUACCACUGUGUUGACACUUUCUGACGAUCUCCUUGAACCUCUCCCAAGCUUUAAAAACUGUUUCAUUAUCUUUCUGGCAGAAGUUAUGGAUCUCUCUUCUAAACUU